GUGGCGAACUGGUGAGUAACACGUGGGAAAUCUGCCCAGAAGCAGGGGAUAACACUUGGAAACAGGUGCUAAUACCGUAUAACAACAAAAUCCGCAUGGAUUUUGUUUGAAAGGUGGCUUCGGCUAUCACUUCUGGAUGAUCCCGCGGCGUAUUAGUUAGUUGGUGAGGUAAAGGCCCACCAAGACGAUGAUACGUAGCCGACCUGAGAGGGUAAUCGGCCACAUUGGGACUGAGACACGGCCCAAACUCCUACGGGAGGCAGCAGUAGGGAAUCUUCCACAAUGGACGAAAGUCUGAUGGAGCAAUGCCGCGUGAGUGAAGAAGGGUUUCGGCUCGUAAAACUCUGUUGUUAAAGAAGAACACCUUUGAGAGUAACUGUUCAAGGGUUGACGGUAUUUAACCAGAAAGCCACGGCUAACUACGUGCCAGCAGCCGCGGUAAUACGUAGGUGGCAAGCGUUGUCCGGAUUUAUUGGGCGUAAAGCGAGCGCAGGCGGUUUUUUAAGUCUGAUGUGAAAGCCUUCGGCUUAACCGGAGAAGUGCAUCGGAAACUGGGAGACUUGAGUGCAGAAGAGGACAGUGGAACUCCAUGUGUAGCGGUGGAAUGCGUAGAUAUAUGGAAGAACACCAGUGGCGAAGGCGGCUGUCUAGUCUGUAACUGACGCUGAGGCUCGAAAGCAUGGGUAGCGAACAGGAUUAGAUACCCUGGUAGUCCAUGCCGUAAACGAUGAGUGCUAAGUGUUGGAGGGUUUCCGCCCUUCAGUGCUGCAGCUAACGCAUUAAGCACUCCGCCUGGGG
RNAcentral lists this ribosomal RNA (798 nucleotides) under Levilactobacillus brevis. RNAcentral describes it as "bacterial SSU rRNA". It matches the Rfam family "Bacterial small subunit ribosomal RNA", at positions 95 to 878 of the family's 1533-position model. The record is from RNAcentral. Lineage: Bacteria; Bacillati; Bacillota; Bacilli; Lactobacillales; Lactobacillaceae.